Molecule: transfer RNA, 72 nt
Filed under: Candidatus Woesearchaeota archaeon CG07_land_8_20_14_0_80_44_23
Lineage: Archaea; Nanobdellati; Candidatus Woesearchaeota
Description: tRNA-Gly
Rfam family: tRNA
About the family: Transfer RNA (tRNA) molecules are approximately 80 nucleotides in length.
Source: RNAcentral
GCGGUCGUAGUCUAGCGGCUAUGAUUCGAGCUUCCCAAGCUUGCGACCCGGGUCCGAAUCCCGGCGACCGCA